Long non-coding RNA from Salarias fasciatus (jewelled blenny), 686 nucleotides. RefSeq lists it as uncharacterized. NCBI's taxonomy places the organism in Eukaryota, Metazoa, Chordata, Actinopteri, Blenniiformes, Blenniidae. The record is from RefSeq and is a predicted model, not a curated record. The transcript is spliced from 3 exons.
CUUCCUGCUGAGGACCCAGCUGCCCUGCUCUACCUCAAGACGGGGGCAUCUGCAACCCACAGUUCGUGGUUUACCAGCUGAAAGUGAAGAUCCACACAUCGAACCCGGCACACACCCGCCGCGAGGACAACCUCUCCUUUCCUUGGGAGGGGGUCAGCAGUGUCUCUGUCAACUAAAUGUGAUACAGAAAACCCGGAUCCUGACUGAGAGCUGCUGCACAUCUUACAGUGCUUCCUGCUGAGGACCCGUGGCCCUGCUCUACCACAAGACGCUAUUUGAAACCAUCCCCAUGUUCAGCCGGGGCACCUGCAACCCACAGUUCGUGGUUUAUCAGCUGAAAUUGAAGAUCCACACCUCGAACCCGGCGCACAGCAGUAAACUUAUAUAGUUUUGCCACAAUCCAUGUACUCACAAUAGACAGUCUAAUUACAACUGAGCCAGAGCCAGCCUCUGAGCCAGGACUCCUUUCAGGAACUGAUCCACACGUCGAACCCAGCCCACCCGGUUCUCACGCUGACCAAGAACGACUUGGACAAGGCCAACAAAGACAAGGCCAAAAAAAACUUCUCCCCCUCCUUCAAGGUGAAGCUGUUUAUUUGCUGUGUAUUUAAUUUGAUCUUCUUGUAACUGGUUUUGUGUUCUGUGUUCUGUGUUUGUUGUUUAUUUUAUAAUGUUCUGCGUUCUGU